UUAAUUUAUUUUAUUAUUAAAUUUUUUUGAUAUUUUAUUUAUUUUAAUAAAAAUAAUUUUGUUUAUUUUUGUCUUAGUAUAUUUUAUUGAAAUGAUUUUAUUAAUUAUAGUUUAUUAGUAAUGUUAUUGAAUUAAUAAUUGUAAAUUAAAGUUAUAAUAAGUAGAUUUUAUUUUUUGUACCUUUUGUAUCAGGGUUUAUCAAAAUUUUAAUUUUUAUUAAUUAAUCUCAAUUUAGGUUGAUCUAUAAAGAAAAUGGUAUUUAUUGUUUCAUAAAUAUUAUGAAUUUAUUUAUAGAAAUGAAAUGUUAUUCGUUUCCUAAUAUAUUUAGUUUCUUAAGAAAAAGUUUAAUUUUUUAAAAUUAGUGUUUUUAUUUAAUUUUUUAGUUUAAAGUAUUAAUUUAUUUAUUUUUUAGGGGAUAAGCUCUGAAAAUUAAUAACCUAUAAUUUAUUAUUUUAAAUAUUUAAUAAUAAGCUUAAUACCAGCUAUUUUUAAUGAUUACGUUAUAGUUCAUUAUUUUUUGUUUAGAUUUUAUAUUUAUUUUAGGUUUUUUAUUAAGAUUAUUAAUUUAAUUUUAAAGUUUUUGUAAUAAUGAUGGAAUUAGUAUAAUUAUUUUGUUUACAUUAUUUUCUUUGUAAAUUUAUUAUAAGGAACUAGGCAAUUAAAAUUUCCGCCUGUUUAUCAAAAACAUGUCUUCAUGAUAAUAUUUUGAAGUCUUGCCUGCUCACUGAUAUAAAUUUAAAGAGCCGCGGUAUUAUGACCGUGCAAAGGUAGCAUAAUCAUUAGUUUCUUAAUUGGAGACUUGAAUGAAUGGUUUGACGAGAAAUUGACUGUCUCUUAAUAAAUUUUGGAAUUUAACUUUUAAGUCAAAAGGCUUAAAUAUUUCUUUAGGACGAGAAGACCCUAUAGAGCUUUACAUUUAUAAAUUGAUUUAUAUAUAUAGUUGAUUUUUUAUAUUAAUUUUUAUUGUUUAGUUGGGGUGACAUGAAGAAUGACUAAACUCUUCAUUAUAAAAUCAUUAAUUUAUGUUUAUUUGAUCCAUAAUUUGUGAUUAUAAGAUUAAGUUACCUUAGGGAUAACAGCGUAAUUAUUUUUGAGAGUUCUUAUCGAUAAAGUGGAUUGCGACCUCGAUGUUGGAUUAAGAUUAAUUAUGGGUGUAGUAGCUUAAUAAUUAGGUCUGUUCGACCUUUAAAUUCUUACAUGAUCUGAGUUCAGACCGGCGUGAGCCAGGUCGGUUUCUAUCCUAAGAUUUAUUGUUAUUAUGUUAGUACGAAAGGACCAUAUAGUGGAAAUAUUUUUUGUUUAUUGAUUAAAAUUAAUUGUUU
RNAcentral lists this ribosomal RNA (1322 nucleotides) under Gastrimargus marmoratus. Its description in RNAcentral is "16S ribosomal RNA". The stretch from base 883 to 1245 matches the Rfam family "Archaeal large subunit ribosomal RNA", at positions 2150 to 2716 of the family's 2987-position model. Lineage: Eukaryota; Metazoa; Arthropoda; Insecta; Orthoptera; Acrididae. The record is from RNAcentral.